This 702-nucleotide long non-coding RNA is filed under the name Phoenix dactylifera (date palm). Its description in RNAcentral is "long non-coding RNA (PDAC_LNC002427)". Lineage: Eukaryota; Viridiplantae; Streptophyta; Magnoliopsida; Arecales; Arecaceae. The record is from RNAcentral.
UUUUGGUUCAACAAAAAUAUAAAAAAUCAUGCGAUAUCGAAAUCAAUAGAAUGAAUUUAAUAUUUCAAACUAUGCAUCAUAGUAUUCCAAAAUAAAGCAUGUUCUAUAAUAAAAUACCAUGCAAAUUCAUGCAUCACGAAUAGUAUGAUUCAAAUUUAUUAAUAUAAUAAUGUUAUUUUGCCAAUAAAUCUAGUAAAAUGGUCGUAUUACUUAUUUUGGGAGCAAAACCAAACUACGCAUUCAAAUAAUUUUGAAAAUUCCUCUUAGAACCUAAGACUCCAGCAAAUGCUCAACUAAAAUCUCUGGUAAGCACUGUGAGCCAAGGCCGUUUAACGCCAAGAAGAAACAAAAAAGGAACUGGUGGUGGUUUAGCGGCAGCAAUCGACAAAACAUGUCAACAUGAGGUGAAGGGUGUGUGGGAAUCUUUUAAAUAGGAUCCAAUCUUGUAGAAAAUUAGGAUGGAGGAGGAGUCUGUCUCUUGCUUCAAGUCGGAUAGGACUCUAUCAUUUUUUUUUUGUUUUUUACUCCAACUUGAAUAGGGCUUUAUUCAAAUUUUUUUCAUCUCCUAUUCCAACUCUUACAUCCGGACUAGUCAAAUAGAUUAGGCCCAAUUUUUAUUAGUUGAGCUGGGUGUUAUAAAUUUAUUAAAAUCAAUCAAAAAUCUAAAGGUUCAUUGAGAAACAAAAUAUAAGUUUAUUUUUU